UUAAGCCUGAAAUGUUCGGAGUAUCCUAUUUUUUGAACCUACAUUUGACAUAAGGGAGUCUAGAGUUUGAAAGUGGGAUGCCAGGCCACAAUUUAAUUCCGUUUUGGAUUUUUAAUUCAUAAUAACGGCGGUGGAAGGCAGAAGCUUUUAGCAGGACACCCACCUGGCUGAGGCUAGGUGUCAAAAUAUAGGUGAACGGCAUUUUGGGUAUUAA
This 214-nucleotide non-coding RNA is filed under the name Clostridium sp. RNAcentral describes it as "6S RNA". It matches the Rfam family "6S / SsrS RNA". Rfam says of the family: E. coli 6S RNA was the first non coding RNA to be sequenced, but its function was unknown until recently. Lineage: Bacteria; Bacillati; Bacillota; Clostridia; Eubacteriales; Clostridiaceae. The record is from RNAcentral.